This 160-nucleotide small nuclear RNA is filed under the name Capsicum annuum. RNAcentral's name for it is "U1 spliceosomal RNA". It matches the Rfam family "U1 spliceosomal RNA". From Rfam's summary of the family: U1 is a small nuclear RNA (snRNA) component of the spliceosome (involved in pre-mRNA splicing). Lineage: Eukaryota; Viridiplantae; Streptophyta; Magnoliopsida; Solanales; Solanaceae. The record is from Rfam by way of RNAcentral.
AUACUUACCUUGACGGGGUCAAUGGGCGAUCAUGAAGGCCCAUGGCCUAGGUUGGUGACCUCCAUUGCACUUUGGAGGGGUGCUUGCCUAAGGUCAAUCCAAGUGGUCGAGCCUACGUAAUAAUUUGUGGCAGCGGGGCCUGCAUUUCCGCGGCCCCUAC